This 863-nucleotide long non-coding RNA is filed under the name Homo sapiens (human). Its description in RNAcentral is "non-protein coding LINC01467:4". Lineage: Eukaryota; Metazoa; Chordata; Mammalia; Primates; Hominidae. The record is from RNAcentral.
CCUCUCCUCAGAGAUCCUCAUUCCCUGCAUUUGAGAUGGGCCCUGGGAACCUUCAUUAUUAACUCCUGAAUUUCACUUGGACCAACACGGUGAUGGUGACAAGCCCAGAUGGAAAGGCAGCUCAACAUCUGAGAAGCCAGUCUUACUCCCUGCAGGCAACAGCUGCUUCCAGAAAACAGCCCUGUAAUUGUCACCAUCAAAUCCAUAUAUUUUCAAGGGAAGUUGGUCCCACACCAGAAGUCAUAGCUGAAUCACCAGCAGUAAUGCAGGGACAUACUGGUUGCUUCUUGGCUUUUCCAACCCUCUGCCAUGCUUGAACAUCUUUGUGAAAGUCCAGGAACAACAAAUAAGCUUAAGGAUAAAAGCCCCCCAGCCAUACCACCACAACCCCCUGUUAAACUCAUGCAUGACUUGUAGAAUCCUUUCCCCACUGUCACUAAAAGGCUUUUUACAUUUUCCCUCCUUAAAACACCAGUUUACUGAAUGGAACGCUAUUUCCUAAAUAUUUGCUACACACACAGCUGUAUAUAGAGUUCCCAGGAGAUGACUUUUUUCUUGUCAUCUUUUAAAACUACAGUUAUAUGUUGAUUUAAUUAUCUUCUCUCUAGAUUACUUCACCAAAGUACAGUUCCUACAGGAAGAUAAUGAUCUGACCUAACCUACUAUUGGCUGAAGGAAGGAGAAAAGCAGCUGAAGAUGUCUGUUGAGUGAUUACCCUCAUAAUCCGUGACUAAGAACAUCCAAAUCAGCAUGGCUUCUUCCUGUCUGAAAUUAUUACUACUUAGGGUUUUUCACGUGUUAUUUCAUUUAUUGAUUAUUCUGUUUUAAACUUGCAAGACGUAUUGUCUCUUCAGAAAUAAAAC